This 893-nucleotide ribosomal RNA is filed under the name Amanita fulva. RNAcentral's name for it is "LSU rRNA". It matches the Rfam family "Eukaryotic large subunit ribosomal RNA", at positions 38 to 899 of the family's 3401-position model. The record is from RNAcentral. Lineage: Eukaryota; Fungi; Basidiomycota; Agaricomycetes; Agaricales; Amanitaceae.
GCAUAUCAAUAAGCGGAGGAAAAGAAACUAACAAGGAUUCCCCUAGUAACUGCGAGUGAAGCGGGAAAAGCUCAAAUUUGAAAUCUGGCAGUCUAUUUUUUCUUCUUUGGCUGUCCGAGUUGUAAUCUAGAGAAGUGCUUACCUGCACUGGACCAUGUAUAAGUCUCCUGGAAUGGAGCGUCACAGAGGGUGAGAAUCCCGUCUUUGACAUGGACCGCCAGUGUGUUGUGGUGUGCUCUCAAAGAGUCGAGUUGUUUGGGAAUGCAGCUCUAAAUGGGUGGUAAACUCCAUCUAAAGCUAAAUAUUGGCGAGAGACCGAUAGCGAACAAGUACCGUGAGGGAAAGAUGAAAAGGACUUUGGAAAGAGAGUUAAACAGUAUGUGAAAUUGUUGAAAGGGAAACGCUUGAAGUCAGUUAUGUCGGCUAGGGAUCAACCUAGCUCUUUUGCUGGGUGAAUUUCCUAUUCUGACAGGCCAACAUCAGUUUUGACUGCUGGAAAAGAGCAGGGGGAAUGUGGCACCUUCGGGUGUGUUAUAGCCCUUUGUCAUAUGUGGCAGUCGGGACUGAGGGAUGCAGCGUGCCGCGAGGCUGGGUUUCGACCACGUUCACGCUUAGGAUGUUGGCUUUUAAUGGCUUCAAUCGACCCGUCUUGAAACACGGACCAAGGAGUCUAACAUGCCUGCGAGUGUUUGGGUGGAAAACCCUUGCGCGCAAUGAAAGUGAAAGUUGAGAUCCCUGUCAUGGGGAGCAUCGACGCCCGGACUUGAGCUUUUAGCGACGGAUCCGCGGUAGAGCAUGCAUGUUGGGACCCGAAAGAUGGUGAACUAUGCCUGAAUAGGGCAAAGCCAGAGGAAACUCUGGUGGAGGCUCGUAGCGAUUCUGACGUGCAAAUC